This is a non-coding RNA of Pelobates cultripes (western spadefoot toad), 244 nucleotides long. NCBI's taxonomy places the organism in Eukaryota, Metazoa, Chordata, Amphibia, Anura, Pelobatidae. The record is from the annotation of a GenBank genome assembly.
GUAAUUUCGUGAAAAAGGCAAAACAGACGAAUCCAGCAAUCUUAGUCUAUACAUAGGGAUCUGUCACACGGCUCCCCCCUUGUGGAACACUCCGGCAGACCCGGCUUGACCCUGUGGCGGGUCAACUUGGGGAUGACCGGACUAGGAGGAAAUAGGGACGUCUGUUUGCCGGGACAAUCCAUCAGCAUUCCCAUUCUGCUUACCGGGUCGGUAGUUGAUGGUGAAGUUGUAAGGUUGCAGCGCC